RNAcentral lists this transfer RNA (92 nucleotides) under Hadesarchaea archaeon DG-33-1. RNAcentral's name for it is "tRNA-Lys". It matches the Rfam family "tRNA". Rfam says of the family: Transfer RNA (tRNA) molecules are approximately 80 nucleotides in length. Their secondary structure includes four short double-helical elements and three loops (D, anti-codon, and T loops). The record is from RNAcentral. Lineage: Archaea; Methanobacteriati; Hadarchaeota (SeqCode); Hadarchaeia (SeqCode).
GGGCCCGUGACUCAGUCUGGUAGACGUGAAAAGCGGCCAAAAGUACCCGGCUCUUAACCGGGCAGUCGAGGGUUCGAAUCCCUCCGGGCCCG